UGGACCAAUGAUGGCAAAGUGUUUAUGAACAAAGGAUCAUGAUGAAUCCAGUUCUGUGCAAAAUACUGAGGUCCAUU
Small nucleolar RNA from Ursus americanus (American black bear), 77 nucleotides. Ensembl annotates it as small nucleolar RNA, C/D box 112. NCBI's taxonomy places the organism in Eukaryota, Metazoa, Chordata, Mammalia, Carnivora, Ursidae. The record is from Ensembl.